AAGUCGAGGGGCAGCGGGAAUUGAGCUUGCUCAAUUUGCCGGCGACCGGCGCACGGGUGCGUAACGCGUAUCCAACCUCCCGCUUACUCAGGAAUAGCCUUUCGAAAGAAAGAUUAAUGCCUGAUGGUAUCUUAAGCACACAUGUAAUUAAGAUUAAAGAUUUAUCGGUAAGCGAUGGGGAUGCGUUCCAUUAGGCAGUUGGCGGGGUAACGGCCCACCAAACCUACGAUGGAUAGGGGUUCUGAGAGGAAGGUCCCCACAUUGGAACUGAGACACGGUCCAAACUCC
Molecule: ribosomal RNA, 288 nt
Filed under: uncultured Bacteroides sp.
Lineage: Bacteria; Pseudomonadati; Bacteroidota; Bacteroidia; Bacteroidales; Bacteroidaceae
Description: partial 16S ribosomal RNA
Rfam family: Bacterial small subunit ribosomal RNA
Source: RNAcentral